Non-coding RNA from Chrysemys picta bellii (western painted turtle), 860 nucleotides. NCBI's taxonomy places the organism in Eukaryota, Metazoa, Chordata, Testudines, Emydidae. The record is from RefSeq and is a predicted model, not a curated record.
GUGAGCCGAUGCCAGGAGGAACAGGAAACUAUUCUGCUGCUCACUACAACGUUGCGCUCAAUUAUUCUGCUUUCUCCACCCGUGUAGCUCCCCGGCGCCCGAUGGCGAGGGUCCGGCUUUGCACCGCGGUGUCACUACGCUGGCCACAAGGGUUUAUCGAGAAAACACCUGCCACAAACAUCAGCCCCGGCCAAAACCUAGCGUGACUUGCAAAGCCCAGCCGGCCUUCCUCCUUUCUUCCCUGUUCCCAGCUGACAUGAGAGUGGCUGGGAAAGAGGACGGGCGCAGCGUGGCCAGCUGGGGUGGGAGAACCUGGAGCCUCCCGAAGGGACCCGCAUGGCCGAAGGAGAUCCCGACAAAAACCAGCAGCCGCUCCGGUGCUCACCCCCUGCCCAGCGCAGGGCAUACCUGGAUUCAGCCUCCGGGCCGGGCCGGAGGGCGUCCUGCGUGGCGGGGGAGUUGCUCAGGACUGCGCUCAGCGAACCUGCUGGUGCCAGAGAGAGCCCAACCAUGAAAUUGGAGUCCGGAUCCAGUUAAGUCUCUGACCCCCGUCCCUCAAAAUCCCCAAAACCACCUUUCCGGAGUGGACUCCUGCAAUUGCAAUAAACCCUGAUCCUGGCAACUCCUGGACAUUGCAACUACUGAGGUGUAAAAUUACUCCCUAAAGCGUGUGCAGGGUUGGGGUUCAGAGAUUGUAAAACUGCUUGCGGCAGGGAGGGACUAUCUCUUCCUAUGGGUUUGUACAGUGACUACUAGCACAAUGGGGCCUCUGUUGUGAUUGGGAUCUAUAAUAACAAUUAAUAGGUAUCAGUGUGAUGUAAAUAAUAAUUAGUAUAAUAAAAUCACUUGUCUUAAUAAAA